This is a long non-coding RNA of Micropterus salmoides (largemouth bass), 691 nucleotides long. RefSeq lists it as uncharacterized. NCBI's taxonomy places the organism in Eukaryota, Metazoa, Chordata, Actinopteri, Centrarchiformes, Centrarchidae. The transcript is spliced from 3 exons. The record is from RefSeq and is a predicted model, not a curated record.
AUUUCUAUGAAAAAAUUAAAAUGUAAGAAAUCUAUAUUGCAUCUGACUCCCGAAUGCAUUACUUGUUGCAUAAAGGUCUCUGUUUCAUGACAAAUAUAUGGAGCAGAGACUGCCAGCUAUUUCAAUUAGCUAGGUGCUCCCAGUUAGCACAUUCACUCACACAUGACUUUAUCUACAGGGGCAGCGGCCUCUACCUAACACACCUUGCCGUAGGCUACCGCGGUGUGUUUAACCCUUUUUAUAUACAGUCUGUGGUUUAAGAGCCUGCUGUUUCCUCUCUGCUGCUGACGCACUGCGGGGUCGCUAACCCUAAUGUAACACUGCUGCUUUUAAUGUAAAUUUUCGUAAGUUAGAAAGUUUUCCAGUUCAACUUUCACUCUGGCAGCGUGGAGAAUUUUUUUCCGACGUGUGAAACGCCGAGGGUUGCUGCGCCUCUUACUUCAACAAGCUAAAACCUCCGGAUACCUCUGUGUAAGCGCUGUGCACUGUAUAAAGGAAAUGUAGCAGUGCCGGUACAUCUGUCCAACUCUCCAAACUGGGGUUGUGCUGGCCACCAUCUGCUGCAGUAAAAAGACAACAUCGCUAUGAGUGGAAUUUUCUUUCCCUAUCGCUACAAUCUUUGAAGAAAACAAUACUUGUUCUCCAUGGUGAUUUAACUCAAUAAACAGACGUGUCAGUUAUUGCACAAACA